UUGCUUCAGCAGCACAUAUACUAAAAUUAGGACUAUACAGAGAAGAUUAACAUGGCCCCUGCGCAAGGAUGACACGCAAAUUCAUUAAGUGAUCCACAUAAUA
This is a small nuclear RNA of Bombina bombina (fire-bellied toad), 103 nucleotides long. The record is from RefSeq and is a predicted model, not a curated record. NCBI's taxonomy places the organism in Eukaryota, Metazoa, Chordata, Amphibia, Anura, Bombinatoridae.